This 460-nucleotide ribosomal RNA is filed under the name uncultured bacterium. RNAcentral describes it as "partial 16S ribosomal RNA". It matches the Rfam family "Bacterial small subunit ribosomal RNA", at positions 338 to 795 of the family's 1533-position model. The record is from RNAcentral.
CCUACGGGUGGCAGCAGUGAGGAAUAUUGGUCAAUGGACGAGAGUCUGAACCAGCCAAGUAGCGUGAAGGAUGACUGCCCUAUGGGUUGUAAACUUCUUUUAUAUGGGAAUAAAACGUUCCACGUGUGGGAUUUUGUAUGUACCAUAUGAAUAAGGAUCGGCUAACUCCGUGCCAGCAGCCGCGGUAAUACGGAGGAUCCGAGCGUUAUCCGGAUUUAUUGGGUUUAAAGGGAGCGUAGGUGGAUUGUUAAGUCAGUUGUGAAAGUUUGCGGCUCAACCGUAAAAUUGCAGUUGAAACUGGCAGUCUUGAGGACAGUAGAGGUGGGCGGAAUUCGUGGUGUAGCGGUGAAAUGCUGAGAUAUCACGAAGAACUCCGAUUGCGAAGGCAGUUCACUGGACUGCAACUGACACUGAGGCUCGAAAGUGUGGGUAUCAAACAGGAUUAGAUACCCCUGUAGUC